GAUGAACGCUGGCGGCGUGCUUAACACAUGCAAGUCGAACGGAAAGGCCACAGCUUGCUGUGGUACUCGAGUGGCGAACGGGUGAGUAACACGUGGGUGAUCUGCCCUGUACUUCGGGAUAAGCUUGGGAAACUGGGUCUAAUACCGGAUAGGAAUCACAUGUGGGUGUGUGGUUGGAAAGCUUUUGCGGUAUGGGAUGAGCUCGCGGCCUAUCAGCUUGUUGGUGGGGUAUUGGCCUACCAAGGCGUCGACGGGUAGCCGGCCUGAGAGGGUGUACGGCCACAUUGGGACUGAGAUACGGCCCAGACUCCUACGGGGGGCAGCAGUGGGGAAUAUUGCACAAUGGGCGCAAGCCUGAUGCAGCGACGCCGCGUGGGGGAUGACGGCCUUCGGGUUGUAAACUCCUUUCGUCAGGGACGAAGCGAAAGUGACGGUACCUGGAGAAGAAGCACCGGCUAACUACGUG
RNAcentral lists this ribosomal RNA (466 nucleotides) under uncultured bacterium. RNAcentral's name for it is "partial 16S ribosomal RNA". It matches the Rfam family "Bacterial small subunit ribosomal RNA", at positions 28 to 507 of the family's 1533-position model. The record is from RNAcentral.